RNAcentral lists this ribosomal RNA (424 nucleotides) under uncultured bacterium. RNAcentral's name for it is "bacterial SSU rRNA". It matches the Rfam family "Bacterial small subunit ribosomal RNA", at positions 355 to 775 of the family's 1533-position model. The record is from RNAcentral.
UGAGGAAUAUUGGUCAAUGGGCGCAAGCCUGAACCAGCCAUCCCGCGUGCAGGAAGACGGCCCUAUGGGUUGUAAACUGCUUUUCCAGGGAGAGAAACCUGCGCACGUGUUACGCAAUUGACGGUACCCUGGGAAUAAGCAUCGGCUAACUCCGUGCCAGCAGCCGCGGUAAUAUGGAGGAUGCAAGCGUUAUCCGGAUUCAUUGGGUUUAAAGAGUGCGUAGGCGGACUAUUAAGUCAGUGGUGAAAGCCUGCAGCUUAACUGCAGAACUGCCAUUGAUACUGAUAGUCUUGAGUUUGGUUAAGGUAGGCGGAAUGUGUAAUGUAGCGGUGAAAUGCCUAGAUAUUACACAGAACACCAAUUGCGUAGGCAGCUUACUGAGCCGACACUGACGCUGAGGCACGAAAGCGUGGGGAUCGAACAG